GACGAACGCUGGCGGCGUGCUUAACACAUGCCAGUCGAACGGUGAAGCGCCUUCCUUUUUGGUGGGUGUGGAUGAGUGGCGAACGGGUGAGUAACACGUGAGUAACCUGCCCCCUUCUUCUGGAUAACCGCAUGAAAGUGUGGCUAAUACGGGAUAUUCUGGGUCUGUCGCAUGAUGGGUCUGGGAAAGAUAUUGUUUCGGUGGGGGAUGGGCUCGCGGCCUAUCAGCUUGUUGGUGGGGUGAUGGCCUACCAAGGCGGUGACGGGUAGCCGGCCUGAGAGGGUGGACGGUCACACUGGGACUGCGACCCGGCCCAGACUCCUACGGGAGGCAGCAGUGGGGAAUAUUGCACAAUGGGCGCAAGCCUGAUGCAGCGACGCCGCGUGAGGGAUGGAGGCCUUCGGGUUGUGAACCUCUUUCGCCAGUGAAGCAGGCCUGCCUCGUUUGUGGGUGGGUUGACGGUAGCUGGAUAAGAAGCGCCGGCUAACUACGUG
RNAcentral lists this ribosomal RNA (494 nucleotides) under uncultured bacterium. Its description in RNAcentral is "partial 16S ribosomal RNA". It matches the Rfam family "Bacterial small subunit ribosomal RNA", at positions 28 to 507 of the family's 1533-position model. The record is from RNAcentral.